UUUUUUUUUUUUUUUUGGCAAACCCACAGUAUGCAUAAGUUCCCUGGCCAGGGAUCAAACCUGCACCAUAGCAGUGACAACACUGGAUACUUAACUGCUAGGCCACCAGGAAACUCCCUAUUUUUGGGUGUUUAAGGAACUUCCAUACUGUUUUCCAUAGGAGCUGCACCAAUUUACAUUCUCACCAGUAGUGUAGGAGGAUUCCCUUUUCUCCACACCCUCUCUAGCAUUUACUAUUUGUAGACUUUUAAUGACGGCAAUUCUGACCAGUGUGAGGUGAUACCUCAUUGUAGUUUUGAUUUGCAUUUCCCUGAUAAUUAUCAAUGUUGAGAAUCUCUUCAUGAGCCUACUGAGCUAUUUGUCAUCUUCAGAAAUAUGUCUAUUUAGUCUUCUGCCCAUUUUUUUGUUUCUUGGUAUUGAGUUGUAUGAGAUGUUUGUAUAUUUUAGAAAUUAAGCCUUUGUCAGUCACAUCAUUUGCCAAUAUUUUUUCCCAGUCCAUAGGUUGUCUUUUCAUUUUGUUAAGAUUGUAAAUUUGAUUGUGCCCCAUUUUGUUUAUUUUUACUUUUAUUUCUAUUGCCUUGGGAGACUGACCUAAGAAACUCUGCUAUGAUUUUUGUCAGAGAAUGUUUUGCCUAGUUCACCUCUAGGAGUUUUAUGGUGUCAUGUCUUAUAUUUAAGUGUUUAAGCCAUUUUGAGUUUAUUUUUGUAUAUUGUAUGAGGGAGUGUUUUAAGUUCAUUUAUUUACAUGUGGCUGCUCAGCUUGUCCAAGACUACUUGCUGAAGAGACUGUCUUUACUUCAUUAUAUAGUCUUGUCUCCUUUUGUUGAAGAUUAAUUGACUAUGGGUGUGUGGGUUUAUUUCUGGACCCUCUAUUCCCUUCCAUUGAUCCCUAUGCCUGUCUUUGUGACAAUACUGUGCUGUUUUGAUUACUGCAGCUUUGUAGUAUUGUCUGAAGUCUGGGACAGUUAUGCCUCCAGCUUUUCUCAGGAUUGCUUUGGCACUUGUGGGUCUUUUAUGAUUCCAUGUAAAUUUUAUGAUAAUUUAUUCUAGUUUUGUGAACAAUGUCAUGGGUAAUUUGAUAGGGAUCCUAUUAAAUUAGUUGAUUGCUUUGGGUAGUAUGGCCAUUUUAACAAUGUUAAUUCUUCCAAUCCAAGAGCAUGGGGUAUCUUUCCAUUUCUUUGGAUCAUCUUAAAUUUACUUUAUCAACAUUUUAUAGUUCUCAACAUACCGGUCUUUCACCUCCUUAGUCAUGUUUAUUCUUAAGUUUUCUGUGUUUGGGCUGUGGGAUGGAAAUCCUGUAAAAUUGGAUUGUUAUGAUCAUUAUACAACUACAGAUGUGAUAAAUUCAUUUGAGUAAUAAAAAAAAUACCAAAAAAAUAAAAGCUAUUGUUUUUAUUUUUAAAACACAACCUGUAUUUUUUAGCAUUUCCCCAGUGGUGCCCUUGUACAACAAAGGUUGAGAACCAUUACAGUUAUCACUCAACAAAUAGUUAUAAAACUGUGCUCAUCCAUACUAGGAAAUAAAAAAGAUUUCUAGAUUAUCUAGAAUAGGUUUUUACAGGUCAUUCCUGCCUCUGAGAAAUCUAGACACAUGACUAUAUGGAGAGUAACUUAUUUUUUUAAGUUGCUUGGUUUUCCCCCAAAAAAUAAAGAAGAAAUCAAAAUGAGUACAAAUAGCAGAAGGUUGCUUAAACCUAAACAUCCAUUGUCAGAGGAUUGAUUAAAUAAUAAUGAUGUGCCUCAAAAUUGGAAUUCUAUAUAGCCACUGAUAGGGAAACUCUCUAGCUGCAGACAUACACCAAUACCCAAGACAGAGUAAAUGAAAAAACUAAGAUACAAAGCAAAAUUUGGUGGCUGUUUUGGGUCGUGUUCCUUAUCCCUGGUACCAUUGAAGGUGACUGUAUUUGCAGAAGAUGAGGCCAGACUAGAUUAGGGUGGGCUCAAGUCCAAUGACUGGUGUCCCUUUAAGAAGAGAUAAACUUGCAUACAGACCCAGAAGGUCACAUGAAGAUGGAAACAAAGAUUGGAGUGAUGGAGCCCCAGCAGCUAGGAUAGAGGAAGGGAACAGAUAGAUGUUCCCUCAGAACCUCCAGAAAAAGCAUAUCCUACCAACAACUGGAUUUUGGACCUCAAGCCUCCCUAUUGUGAGAAAGUAAGGUUCUAUUGUUUCAAGCCACCCAAUUUGUGGUGAUUUGUUAUGGCAGCCCUAGAAAACUAAUACAGUAGCUUAUCAUUUCUGGGAAUCUAUCUAUCUAUCUAUCUAUCUAUCUAUCUAUCUAAUCAUUUCUGGGAAUCUAUCUAUCUCUCUCUCUCUCUCUCUCUCUCUCUCUCUCUCUAUCAUCUAUCUAUCCAUCUAUCAAUACUAAAACUGUUUCCGAAAGGAUACCCAAGAAACUGAGGCCAAAAUGACUUCUGGGAAAGACAUGAGGAUGGCUGGGAGCAAGGGAAGAAAGAGAGAUUUACUUUUUAGUGCAUGCUCUUUUAUGUUUUUUGACUUUUGUACUAUAUUCAGAUGCUAUUUUAUUUCAUUUUCUUUUUUAGGGCUGCACCCAUGGCAUAAGUAAGUUCCCAGGCUAAGGGUAAAAUAGGACCUAUGCUAUAGCCACAGCAAUGCAGGAUCUGAGCUGUGUCUGAGACCUAUACCACAGCUCAUAGCAAUGCUGGAUCCUUAACCCACUGAGUGAGGCCAGGGAUCAAACCCAUGUCUUCAUGGAUACUAGUCAGGUUUGGUUACUACUGCACUGCCAUGGGAACUCCAAAUACUAUUUAUUUUUAAAAAAUCAAUGAUUUUACAAUAAUUGUGAUUUUUUUUCCCCCAGCUUGGGUCAGCUGCAGAAAUAACCCAAGAAAGCUGCUUUAACCUCUCAGGGCCUCAGACUUCACAACCAGAAAAUGGGGAUAAUAAUACCAAUUAUAGCCAACCCUUAAAAAAAUGCACCAACCCCUCACACAGUUGAAAAUCCACAUAUAACUUUACAGUUGGCCCUUUGUAUCUGUGGUUCUGCCUCUGGGGAUUCAACCAGUGUUGGAUGGUGUAGCACUGUGGUACAUCUUUAUUAAAAGAAAAUCUACACAUAAUUGGAUGCACACAGAUCCAACCUCUGUUAUUCAAGGGUCAACUGUACCUUACACACAGUGCAUGAUGUGCCUGGAAGGGUGCCUGGCAGAGAAAAGGGCUCAAGGAGGGAUCAUAUUGGCUAUGGUUUUUUGUUUUUGUUUUUUUUUUUUUUUUUUUGGUCUUUUCUAGAGCUGCACACAAGGUAUAUGGAGGUUUCCAGGUUAGGGGUCUAAUCGGAGCUGUAGCUGCUGGCCUAAGCCACAGCCACAGCAAUGUGGGAACCAAAACGCGUCUGUAACCUGUACCACAGCUCAUGGCAAAGCCGGAUCCUUAACCCACUGAGCGAGGCCAGGGAUCAAACCUGCAACCUCAUGGUUCCUAGUUGGAUUCGUUAACCACUGAGCCACUACAAGAACUCCUGGCUAUGGUUUUUAUGGAUAUUAUGUGAUUAAGGUGCCUGAAUAAUAGUUAAAAUCCAAACAAGGGAUCGUGGGUGGAACACUGGAAGGGCCACACUAAACUGUGGUGGCAACUAAUAAAGCUGGCACCUAAUCAAGGAUAGCAUCUGCUCCACGAAGGAGAUCUUCCUCAGCAGCCUUCCUCAACAGCAGCAGUGCCACCUUCAUAGCUGGAUAAUUCUAGGUUGUGGGUCUGUGCUGCACACAGUAGGUUUUAGCAUUGCUGGUCUUUGCCCACAAGGUGCCAGGAGUACGUCUCCCUCAGUUGUGUUCAUCAAAGAAGACUCCUGACAAUGGCUUGCAUCCUCUGGUGCACAAAACUGGCUUAGCUGAGAGCCACUAGUCCACAGAUUGGCAGUUCCCAACAUGUGCCACCCAGACCAGCAAUAAAUAUUACUGGGAACUUCUCAGAAAUGCAGAAUCUGGGCCCCAUCUCAGACCCACCGUAGCUGAACCUGCAUUUUAACAAGAUCUCCCUGUCACAUUAAAAUGUGAUCAGCAUUCAUCAACACCAGUGGCUCUCCCCUUCUCUUAUAAACAUAGGAAACCUUGCCCCUUUGAGUAAAAACACAUAUUACUGGCUCCUACCCAAACUGAGAAAGGGCUGGGAGUAGAUAUUUUAAAGUGAAUCUUAGGAUCAAGAAGUUUGGGGAAACUCUACCGUGUUUAUAUAGAGAAACAAAAUUUAGCAAUUCCUUUCUAGAAUUGCAUGGGCAGAGAGUGUCUUGGAUCCCAAACUUGUUCUCUGGAUAUUUAUCAAGUCCUCACUGAGCACUGGCCCAGGGACAAGUGGCUAAAAGAGACCCAUCUCCUGAGUGGCACCGAGCUGACAGCCCAAAGCGCACUGGAUGGUGCAGAAGUAGAGUCCAGCUGACAUUGUUAGAGAACUUCUACAUUUAACUGUGUUGGAAUCCUUUGACUUCCUGGUCCCAUAAGCAAAUAGAGUUUGGUUUUGGAAUUCCUGUUGUGGUUCAACGGUGAUGAACCUGACUAGUAUCCACAUGGAAGCGGGUUCGAUCCCUGGCCUCACUCCGUGGGUUAAGAAUCCAGCAUUGCUGUGACCUGUGGUGCAGGUCACAGACACAGCUCAGAUGCUGGGCUGCUCUAACUGUGGUAUAGCCUGGCAGCAGCAGCUCCAAUUCGACCCCUAGCAAACUCCAUACCAUAUGCCACAGAUGCGGGAAAAAAAAAAAAAAAAAAAAAAAAAGAAAGAAAGGAAAAAAAGUUUGAUUUUGCUUGAGGCAAUUUAAGUUUUAUUUCUAAUCACUUGUCUCUGAGAUAGUCUCAAUGAACACACUAUCCUCUAAGGUCACAGGACUGAUUUUCCUGCCCAUGACCAUAUGUGAUGGAAUAACUUUCUAAGUCUAAUAUGGAUUCCCACAAAGUUCUGUCUAUAGGGAGAUAAUACAGAGCUCAGAAGCCAUAAGAAUGUGAACAUUUUUGUUGCUAUAAGAGCAUUAUAAAUCAAUUGUAUUCUGGCUUUAUACAUCCAUCUCUUGUGAGUUUGGUUCCUGUAAGUCAGUGUCCAGGUUUUAACACAUCCAAGUAUAAGCAGAGCAAAAGGAAUGUUCCAACCAGCCCCUGGAAUGAAAUGAUGUCAUACUCCCCACCCCACUGUUUUCAUGUAGGACUUCUUUUGUUUGUUUGUUUGUUUAGGGCUGCACUUGCAGCAUAUGGAAGUUCCCAGGCUAGGGGUCAAAUCAGAACUACAGCUACCACCUAUACCACACCCACAGCAACAUGGGAUGUGGACCGUGUCUGCGACCUACACCAUAGCUCACAGCAACGCUGGAUCCUUAACACACUGAGUGAGGAAUAUAGCAUAUCUCACUUUUUUUAUAUUGAUUGCACACUGAAAUAAUAAUAUGCUGAGCAUACUGGGUUAAAUAAAGUGUCUUAUUAAAAUUAAUUUCACCCAUUACUUUUUACGUCUUAAAUGGGGCUAUUAGGAAAAUUUAAGUUACAUAUAUGGCUAUUUGUGGCUCCUAUUAUAUAGUCAGUUCUAGCUAUAUUGUUAUAUAUAGUAUAUAUAUAUGCACACAAUAUAUAGUAUAUAUUAUCUAUAUAUAAUUGUUAUUUUGUAUAUGGAUUAUACAAAAUAAGUUAUACUUAUUUUGAAAAUGUGAAUUUGCUCCCAUGAAGCAGAUACAUUGAGAGGUAAUUAAACAUAACACUAAUAACAUGUCUACUCGUGUCUGUAAGAAACACUAGGUGAAUCCUGAAAACGGCACCCAGCUGAACUGAGUUGUGCGGAAAACACACAAAAUGCUCACACAUGCACAGACCUCAAACAUCCACCAGAUACUUCAGUUCACCACACGGAUUAUGCGCCACGUGAACCCACAUCUGGUGCUACAACUUUCCGUCCAAUUUUAAAUAACCCUCCUUUCACCACUUUCCAUAACUCACAUGCAGCCACCAUGGCUCGUGGAUGCCACUUCCUCAAGCAAAUGCCAGGUCUUUUCCAAGCUAAAAUGCAAUAUACAGUAUAGUAUUUACACAUAUACUUGCAGUUAACAUAUGCAAAAGUGGGCUGUUUUUACUAGGCUCCUUUUUUUUUUUUUUUAAUGUUUCUCUGACAAAGUUUUUAGUGUUAUGUCCCUCACCCCACUUACUCCAUAGGUCCUACAGUUUUUAUUGCGAGAUUUUGCAUCUCACUGUAUUUUUCAGUAAUGCCUACGGCUGUGUUUCUAUUGGACGGUGCUGUGCUACAGAGCCUUGGUUCCCAAAGCA
This 6249-nucleotide long non-coding RNA is filed under the name Sus scrofa (pig). RNAcentral describes it as "lncRNA (ENSSSCG00005018565.1)". The record is from RNAcentral. Lineage: Eukaryota; Metazoa; Chordata; Mammalia; Artiodactyla; Suidae.